This 254-nucleotide ribosomal RNA is filed under the name uncultured bacterium. RNAcentral's name for it is "partial 16S ribosomal RNA". It matches the Rfam family "Bacterial small subunit ribosomal RNA", at positions 524 to 776 of the family's 1533-position model. The record is from RNAcentral.
UACGGAGGGGGCUAGCGUUGUUCGGAAUUACUGGGCGUAAAGGGCGCGUAGGCGGCGCGAUAAGUUGGGCGUGAAAGGCCCGGGCUCAACCCGGGGACUGCGCUUGAUACUGUCGCGCUGUGAGUCCGGGAGAGGAUGGCGGAAUUCCCAGUGUAGAGGUGAAAUGCGUAGAUAUUGGGAGGAACACCAGUGGCGAAGGCGGUCCCCUGGGCCGGAACUGACGCUGAGGCGCGAAAGCGUGGGUAGCAAACGGG